This 253-nucleotide ribosomal RNA is filed under the name uncultured bacterium. RNAcentral's name for it is "partial 16S ribosomal RNA". It matches the Rfam family "Bacterial small subunit ribosomal RNA", at positions 524 to 776 of the family's 1533-position model. The record is from RNAcentral.
UACGUAGGGCGCAAGCGUUAUCCGGAAUUAUUGGGCGUAAAGGGCGCGUAGGCGGCCAUUCAAGUGACGGGUGAAAGCCCUCGGCUUAACCGAGGAACUGCCUGUCAGACUGGAUGGCUUGAGACCGGGAGAGGUGAGUGGAAUUCCCAGUGUAGCGGUGAAAUGCGUAGAUAUUGGGAGGAACACCAGUGGCGAAGGCGGCUCACUGGACCGGAACUGACGCUGAGGCGCGAAAGCGUGGGGAGCAAACAGG